Molecule: ribosomal RNA, 654 nt
Filed under: Eukoenenia sp. DNA100456.2
Lineage: Eukaryota; Metazoa; Arthropoda; Arachnida; Palpigradi; Eukoeneniidae
Description: SSU rRNA
Rfam family: Eukaryotic small subunit ribosomal RNA
Source: RNAcentral
UGCAAAGCUGAAACUUAAAGGAAUUGACGGAAGGGCACCACCAGGAGUGGAGCCUGCGGCUUAAUUUGACUCAACACGGGAAAACUUACCCGGCCCGGACACCGGAAGGAUUGACAGAUUGAGAGCUCUUUCUUGAUUCGGUGGGUGGUGGUGCAUGGCCGUUCUUAGUUGGUGGAGCGAUUUGUCUGGUUAAUUCCGAUAACGAACGAGACUCUAGCCUACUAAAUAGGCGACCGAUUCCAUCGGUCGGUCGCUCUUCUUAGAGGGACAAGCGGCUUUUAGCCGCACGAGACAGAGCAAUAACAGGUCUGUGAUGCCCUUCGAUGCCCGGGGCCGCACGCGCGCUACACUGAAGGAAUCAGCGUGCAUUUAUCCCUGUCCGGUAGGACUGGGUAACCCGAUGAGUCUCCUUCGUGAUAGGGAUAGGGGCUUGUAAUUGUUCCCCUUGAACGAGGAAUUCCCAGUAAGCGCGAGUCAUAAGCUCGUGUUGAUUACGUCCCUGCCCUUUGUACACACCGCCCGUCGCUACUACCGAUUGAAUGAUUUAGUGAGGUCUUCGGACUGUUGCCCGGCCGAUGUCAUGUUGCACCGGUGUGAUGGAAAGAUGAUCAAACUUGAUCAUUUAGAGGAAGUAAAAGUCGUAACAAGGUUUCC